Drosophila santomea is the source of this 634-nucleotide long non-coding RNA. RefSeq lists it as uncharacterized. The record is from RefSeq and is a predicted model, not a curated record. The transcript has 3 exons. NCBI's taxonomy places the organism in Eukaryota, Metazoa, Arthropoda, Insecta, Diptera, Drosophilidae.
AAUACAAAACACGAAAUACGAAAAUCGACGCCCGACUGCCGAUGAACCCUUGCCAAUCCGGCAAGCGAAAGGCUUUCCACUCGAUUCCACCCUGAACACACGGCCGAACGGCCUUCCACCUUCAAUCAGCGGACCACCAACUCCACCCCCAUGAAUCCUCCAAUCCUCCCUCCGAUUGAUUCCAGUGUUCACUUCGAAUUGCCGCUUGUAAUCCCUUGAAUUGGCCCUGCACUUGGAACAAAAACGGUAGUAGUAAUAGUUUCUUCCAGUGCACAUAUGGAGUAAUCAUCACGAAACUGCUCGCCGGGUGGUCCGAGCUGACAUUUCGCAGUUGGCAGACUGCCUUCAUGCGAGGCGAAGCUACCUUGCCGGUUGGCUUCCAUAAAUCAACCGCGAACUAUUGACACAGCCCGAUGGCCGUAAAUCAAUGGGAUCCGCGGACAUCAGGUUCGCACAACGGCCAGGGCAUAUUCUAAACAAAUUGGCCCCAAAUCGGCGGAGACUAUAUCGAUAUAUAGGAAUGCAUCCGUGGAUUUUCCGGCUGCAAAAUGCGCGAACAAAUAAUGGCAACAAAGGCGCGGAAUAAAACAAUUGCCACAGUUUUAACAUUUGCCAUUUGCCAUAAAUAAACAUG